Molecule: long non-coding RNA, 2052 nt
Organism: Siniperca chuatsi (mandarin fish)
Lineage: Eukaryota; Metazoa; Chordata; Actinopteri; Centrarchiformes; Sinipercidae
Exons: 2
Source: RefSeq, a predicted model, not a curated record
UGCUGAAGAAACAAAACACCUGUUGACUAUAUUAAAAGGAAGUUUCUCCUCCUAAUCCUCCUCAUGUCUGAGUCAACUGCUGUCUUUUAGAUACAACAAAUCUGACUCUCUUACACUUUGUCCUAAAGUAAAAUAAUCCAAGAGAGAAACGUAUAACAUUUUGACUAAAUCAAUUUUUUUUGACAAUCACUGUUUUACUUUCCUCUUAGUCAUUCUCUGCCUGUCUAGAUAUCAGCAGGAAAAAUGUCACAAGUUGCAAACACAGAGGGCAUUAACGUUGGCGACAACGAAGGGAUGGUUGGUGCUAGGAAUACCGUUGACAUUAAAGGUAAAUCCAAGUGGGACUAUACUUGACAGUUUCCUUAAAUCUCUUUCUCACAUGACUCUUACAGGAGGUCAUGGACACAACUCUUCUCUGGGCAACACCUCUGGCAUCGACGUUACAGGAAAGAAUACAGAAAUGAUAUGAACAAGUAUGACAUAAAAGGAGGACUGGGAGCAGUGUUAGCAACACUGCUAAUGUUAAAGUUGGUGAGAACUCAGGAGCCAUGGUGCAGGGAAUAUGGUUAACCUCAGCCAAGGUAAGAAGUCAGAGAUUUAGUUGCCACUUUGGACACAGUAUCAGAUGUGUACAUAUGACAUGCUUAUGUGUUAAUUUUUCCUGUGAAUCUUUCUCAUUGUCUUUCUCCCUUUUAGGGAAUUGCCCUUCAACAGAUAAAGGACAACUCUUCUAACUAACUCUUCUGCUUUACUAUGUCAUAUAAUUAAAAUGUCUUUCAACAAGUAUUCACAAAUGAUGAUGAUGAUUCAUGAUUUCAAAUUGGCAAAAAUUACUCUCAUUCAUCAGAUGAAUGUAAAAGAAGUACCAUUUAUUUUCCAAAUAAGUAUUUCAGUAGUUAACAUAAACUUACUUGCAAUAAUUUGACAACACACUGAUAAUCUUCCUUCAACUUAUUAUGCAACUUCUGCAAAAAAAGUGGCUGCACCUGGUAUGAUUUAGGUGUGUCAUAAUAAAGGCGGCAAAUACUAUGACUGUGUUAGUGAGUUGAGUUUUUGAACAGAUAAACACCAACAUGUGUUUUAAUGGUUUAUGCAACUCAACUGGCAACAGUUGGGUCAAAGAUUCAGGUGUGUUAUGCUAGUAGUGGCCAAUGUAGCCUCGAGCCGCUAGCCUCAAGCAGAGAUGAGGAUUUAUUAUUUCAUGAUUUCUCAAUUUUGGUAAUUCUCUGUAUUUUAAAAGGAGGAACAGGAGCUCAGUCAAAUACUGGAAACUCAUUUAACACACCAGGUGGAACCAGAAGCAACUCUGGAUCUCAUCAACUCAUAUUGCUGAGGAAGUUAGUAGGAGUGGACAGUUGAUUUCUGACUCAUGACUCAGAGAUUAGAAUAUGUGCGGUAAGAUUAACAGUUUAUGUGAUUGUAUCUAUUUAUUAUUGUUGUGUUUAACAGGAGGAAAAGCAGUCAAUAUAGGCAACAUAACUAACAUGACAGUUGGAGACAAUGUAGGAGACAUUGGUGUAAAGAACACCUGCAAUGUGAGUAGUGAGUACUGUGUGUCAUAUUGUUUGGAAGUUAAUACACUUAUUUAAAUUUGGCAUCUUUGGCAUUUCUGUACUGCAAUUUCUUGUUACUUUUUUGUCUGACAUACACACAGAUACGAAUAUUUCUGCAGUAAGUUAAUAGUGACCUGGCCAAUAUAACAGCUCUGGAAAGUUAUCACAGCAGCAAUCAUUUUAUCCUGUGUCUUGAUGAGCGCCAGGUAAACUGCAGUGCUAAUGCCAGUAUGAACACGGUCUUACUGUGUAUUUCAACAGGAGGAGACAGAGUCAAAAUAGGUAUUGCCAACAUAGGUAACAUGACAGUUGGAGACAAUGCAUUGGUGUAGGGAACAACUGCAAUGUGAGCGGUGAGGCCUGUGACUUAUAUGGCUGGGAAGGUGCUUUAGCAGAUACUUUUCAUGAUUUAUGACUGAUGUACGAGACUAGAAUCUGUACACAACAGAUCUAAGAUUAACAGUUUAUGUGAUUUAUAUUUUUCUUUGUAAAUCAACAG